RNAcentral lists this ribosomal RNA (567 nucleotides) under Escherichia coli. Its description in RNAcentral is "partial 23S ribosomal RNA". It matches the Rfam family "Bacterial large subunit ribosomal RNA", at positions 623 to 1191 of the family's 2925-position model. Lineage: Bacteria; Pseudomonadati; Pseudomonadota; Gammaproteobacteria; Enterobacterales; Enterobacteriaceae. The record is from RNAcentral.
GCGACUUAUAUUCUGUAGCAAGGUUAACCGAAUAGGGGAGCCGAAGGGAAACCGAGUCUUAACUGGGCGUUAAGUUGCAGGGUAUAGACCCGAAACCCGGUGAUCUAGCCAUGGGCAGGUUGAAGGUUGGGUAACACUAACUGGAGGACCGAACCGACUAAUGUUGAAAAAUUAGCGGAUGACUUGUGGCUGGGGGUGAAAGGCCAAUCAAACCGGGAGAUAGCUGGUUCUCCCCGAAAGCUAUUUAGGUAGCGCCUCGUGAAUUCAUCUCCGGGGGUAGAGCACUGUUUCGGCAAGGGGGUCAUCCCGACUUACCAACCCGAUGCAAACUGCGAAUACCGGAGAAUGUUAUCACGGGAGACACACGGCGGGUGCUAACGUCCGUCGUGAAGAGGGAAACAACCCAGACCGCCAGCUAAGGUCCCAAAGUCAUGGUUAAGUGGGAAACGAUGUGGGAAGGCCCAGACAGCCAGGAUGUUGGCUUAGAAGCAGCCAUCAUUUAAAGAAAGCGUAAUAGCUCACUGGUCGAGUCGGCCUGCGCGGAAGAUGUAACGGGGCUAAACCAUG